UACGUAGGUCCCGAGCGUUGUCCGGAUUUAUUGGGCGUAAAGCGGGCGCAGGUGGUUUAUUAAGUCUGGUGUAAAAGGCAGUGGCUCAACCAUUGUAUGCAUUGGAAACUGGUAGACUUGAGUGCAGGAGAGGAGAGUGGAAUUCCAUGUGUAGCGGUGAAAUGCGUAGAUAUAUGGAGGAACACCGGUGGCGAAAGCGGCUCUCUGGCCUGUAACUGACACUGAGGUUCGAAAGCGUGGGGAGCAAACAGG
Molecule: ribosomal RNA, 252 nt
Filed under: uncultured bacterium
Lineage: Bacteria
Description: partial 16S ribosomal RNA
Rfam family: Bacterial small subunit ribosomal RNA
Source: RNAcentral